This 492-nucleotide long non-coding RNA is filed under the name Gallus gallus (chicken). Lineage: Eukaryota; Metazoa; Chordata; Aves; Galliformes; Phasianidae. The record is from RNAcentral.
AAUACAGGAAAGGCAGGGAGCUGUUGGAGAGGGUCCAGAGGAGGACACAGAGAUGCUCAGAGGGCUGCAGCACCUCCCCUACAAAGACAGGCUGAGGGAGCUGGGCUUGUUCAGCCUGGAGAAGAGAAGGCUGCGGGGAGACCUCAUUGCAGCCUUCCAGGACCUCCAGGGAGCCUCCAAACAGGAGGGGAGGCAACUCUUGGAAAGGGCAGAUAACAGCAGGACGAGGGGAAAUGGUGUGAAGUUGAAGGAGGGCAGAUUGAGGUUGGAUGUGAGGGGGAAGUUCUUUGCUAUGAGAGUGGGGAGGUGCUGGAACAGCUGCCCAGAGAGGCUGUGGAUGCCCCGUCCAUCCCUGGAGGUGUUCAAGGCCAGGUUGGAUGGGGCCCUGGGCAGCCUGGGCUGGUAUGAAAUGGGGAGGUUGGUGGCCCUGUGUGUGGUGGGGGGUUGGAGCUCCACGAUCCUUGAGGUCCCUUCCAACCCAACCAUUCUGUG